UGUUUUCCUCGUAGAUCCCUCUGUUAUCCCUUUCUAUCCUUCACGACACGGCUGAGGAUCAGGGUUUGGGGCUUUUGCGUGUGAGUGAUUGGAAGAUGGCUUUGAUUAUGAGGUUGGGGCUGGAGGUGAAGGAAGGGUUGUUGUUGUGGUGGCUUUCGAGAGGGAUGACGGAGAACUUGUUUCGGUGGAAGUGAUGAGGACGACACUUGUUGCAGUAGUGUGUUGACUGAUAAAGAUUUGUUUUUUUUUCUCUAUUGGUUGGGGCA
RNAcentral lists this long non-coding RNA (266 nucleotides) under Brassica napus (rape). Its description in RNAcentral is "long non-coding RNA (BNAP_LNC025341)". Lineage: Eukaryota; Viridiplantae; Streptophyta; Magnoliopsida; Brassicales; Brassicaceae. The record is from RNAcentral.